This 436-nucleotide ribosomal RNA is filed under the name uncultured bacterium. RNAcentral describes it as "bacterial SSU rRNA". It matches the Rfam family "Bacterial small subunit ribosomal RNA", at positions 338 to 791 of the family's 1533-position model. The record is from RNAcentral.
CCUACGGGUGGCACCAGUGGGGAAUAUUGGACAAUGGGCGCAAGCCUGAUCCAGCCAUGCCGCGUGAGUGAAGAAGGCCUUAGGGUUGUAAAGCUCUUUCACCGGUGAAGAUAAUGACGGUAACCGGAGAAGAAGCCCCGGCUAACUUCGUGCCAACAGCCGCGGUAAUACGAAGGGGGCUAGCGUUGUUCGGAAUUACUGGGCGUAAAGCGCGCGUAGGCGGAUGGAUAAGUCAGAGGUGAAAUCCCGGGGCUCAACCCCGGAAUUGCCUUUGAUACUGUUUAUCUUGAGUGCAGAAGAGGUAAGUGGAAUUCCGAGUGUAGAGGUGAAAUUCGUAGAUAUUCGGAGGAACACCAGUGGCGAAGGCGGCUUACUGGUCUGCAACUGACGCUGAGGCGCGAAAGCGUGGGGAGCAGACAGGAUUAGAUACCCGAGU